UACGGAGGGGGCUAGCGUUGUUCGGAAUUACUGGGCGUAAAGCGCACGUAGGCGGCUUUGUAAGUUAGAGGUGAAAGCCCGGGGCUCAACCCCGGAAUUGCCUUUAAGACUGCAUCGCUUGAACGUCGGAGAGGUGAGUGGAAUUCCGAGUGUAGAGGUGAAAUUCGUAGAUAUUCGGAAGAACACCAGUGGCGAAGGCGGCUCACUGGACGACUGUUGACGCUGAGGUGCGAAAGCGUGGGGAGCAAACAGG
This 253-nucleotide ribosomal RNA is filed under the name uncultured bacterium. RNAcentral's name for it is "partial 16S ribosomal RNA". It matches the Rfam family "Bacterial small subunit ribosomal RNA", at positions 524 to 776 of the family's 1533-position model. RNAcentral also lists the same sequence under 2 other names. The record is from RNAcentral.